CCCUUAGAUGUUCUGGGCCGCACGCGCGCUACACUGUUCGACGCAGCGAGUCUUAACCUUGACCGAAAGGUUUGGGUAAUCUUCAGCAAAGUCGAACGUGAUGGGGAUCGAUCAUUGCAAUUAUUGAUCGUGUACGAGGAAUUCCUAGUAAGUGCAAGUCAUCAGCUUGCGCUGAUUACGUCCCUGCCCUUUGUACACACCGCCCGUCGCUACUACCGAUUGAAUGGUUUAGUGAGAUCUCUGGAUUGACGCUGGCUAGGGGGCGACCCUUGGCCAGGCUGUCGAGAAACUGCUCAAACUUGAUCAUUUAGAGGAAGUAAAAGUCGUAACA
This 331-nucleotide ribosomal RNA is filed under the name uncultured eukaryote. RNAcentral's name for it is "partial 18S ribosomal RNA". It matches the Rfam family "Eukaryotic small subunit ribosomal RNA", at positions 1470 to 1796 of the family's 1831-position model. The record is from RNAcentral.